Molecule: long non-coding RNA, 448 nt
Organism: Symphalangus syndactylus (siamang)
Lineage: Eukaryota; Metazoa; Chordata; Mammalia; Primates; Hylobatidae
Source: RefSeq, a predicted model, not a curated record
CCACCAUCUUGGAAGCGGCCCACCACCAUCUUGGAAGUGGCUUGCCACCAUCUUGGGAGCUCUGUGAGCAGGGACCUCCAUAACAUUUUGGCAACCACGAAGGGACAUCCAAAGCUUAUUGCCUAACGGUCCACAAUAAAACAUUCUCACUUUGGUAACUGUAUAAAAAUAGAAGUACAUUACAUAAAAAAGCUGAGAAGUUUGAAUUUGGGAGCUACUUCCUUACUUCCUAGAUUUAUUCUAAACAAAUGCGAAAUUACACUUUAAGGACAGGAUAAGAUUUAUCAUUGACAUUUCUACAUUUUCCGUGGUGGAAGCAGAGCCAGCAUCACCAACUCUUUUAAACUUAUUCCUGAUUGAUGUUUAACGAAUCCCAGAACUCUAGAAGACAGCAUCGACAGAACAAUGAAUGGGGGCAACAAAUUUCUCAUCCCAAACCACCCUUAUU